Molecule: ribosomal RNA, 253 nt
Filed under: uncultured bacterium
Lineage: Bacteria
Description: partial 16S ribosomal RNA
Rfam family: Bacterial small subunit ribosomal RNA
Source: RNAcentral
GACAGAGGGUGCGAACGUUGUUCGGAAUUACUGGGCGUAAAGCGUGUGUAGGCGGCAAUGCAAGUCGGGCGUGAAAUCCCACGGCUCAACCGUGGAAGUGCACUCGAAACUGCAUAGCUAGAGUCCUGGAGAGGAAGGUGGAAUGCUUGGUGUAGAGGUGAAAUUCGUAGAUAUCAAGCGGAACACCGGUGGCGAAGGCGGCCUUCUGGACAGUGACUGACGCUGAGACACGAAAGCGUGGGGAGCAAACGGG